Clupea harengus (Atlantic herring) is the source of this 943-nucleotide long non-coding RNA. Lineage: Eukaryota; Metazoa; Chordata; Actinopteri; Clupeiformes; Clupeidae. The record is from Ensembl.
CACACUCACACACACACACACACACACGCCAAAUUGUCAUGAUGUUUUGGCCUCAUCUCAUUCCUCGUCAUCUCACACACGCUGUGUUGCAUGUGGACGGCGGAACCAUAAUGUUCCUCUGCCGCUCUGCACCUACCUCCUCUUAGAACCUCUAGAGAACCGCAGCUGUGUGCUUAGAACCGCUGACCCCUGACCCCACGUGACCCCUGACCCCAUGUGUCCGUUAAUACACGAGUCUGAACGCAGGUUAACUCACGAAGAACACAACAGAACUAUACAUUAUCAGGCUUAUUAUACUAUACAUUAUCAGGCUUAUUAUACAGUUACACGACAGAACUAUACAUUAUCAGGCUUAUUAUACAGUUACUUGACAAAACUAUACAUUAUCAGGCUUAUUAUACAGUUACUUGACAAAACGAUAAAAGGCAUUUCUUCAAAAUAUCAGUUUGUAAAUGAUUUUGUUGCUGUUGCCUUCCACUGAGAAAAAAAUAGUUCUUCACGCAAAUAGAUUACUUGCUGAUCUGCUAUGAUAAGUGAACGGACUUCUUGCGGAAUGAUGUGAAAGAUGUGAAUUAGAAGCACAAAACCUGUUGUCAUGGCAGCAGUCAUUAUUCGUUUUCAUUACCUCAAAUGUUGGGAUGGCCCAUUCAAUUCUGCAGCAGUCAGAAGAGCCGGAUAAUAAGUGUGUGUUCAGUCAGAAGAACCGUAUAAUAAGUGUGUGUUCAGUCUGAUCAACUCUGUGUUUGUUAAUACACCACCAUCCUCUUCAUCAGUGUUCUUCAGCCAAACUCAGACAAGGUGUGUGUGUGUGUGUGUGGAGGGGGGGGGGGGCUCCUUAUCCAAACUCAGAAUCACACACACACACACACACUGAUACACAUUCACACACACACACACACACACACACACACACACGUAUACACACACACACACACACACACAC